UACGUAGGGCGCAAGCGUUGUCCGGAAUUAUUGGGCGCAAAGAGCUCGUAGGCGGCCUGUUGCGUCCGCUGUGAAAUCCCGGGGCUCAACCCCGGGCCUGCAGUGGAUACGGGCUGGCUAGAGGCAGGCAGGGGAGAACGGAAUUCCUGGUGUAGCGGUGAAAUGCGCAGAUAUCAGGAGGAACACCGGUGGCGAAGGCGGUUCUCUGGGCCUGUACUGACGCUGGAGGAGCGAAAGCGUGGGGAGCAAACAGG
Molecule: ribosomal RNA, 254 nt
Filed under: uncultured bacterium
Lineage: Bacteria
Description: partial 16S ribosomal RNA
Rfam family: Bacterial small subunit ribosomal RNA
Source: RNAcentral